RNAcentral lists this unclassified non-coding RNA (164 nucleotides) under soil metagenome. Its description in RNAcentral is "partial internal transcribed spacer 1". The record is from RNAcentral.
CACAAAUAUGAAGGCGGGCUGGAACCUCUCGGGGUUACAGCCUUGCUGAAUUACUCACCCUUGUCUUUUGCGUACUUCUUGUUUCCUUGGUGGGUUCGCCCACCACUAGGACAAACAUAAACCUUUUGUAAUUGCAAUCAGCGUCAGUAACAAAUUAAUAAUUA